GAUGAACGCUGGCGGCGUGCCUAAUACAUGCAAGUCGAGCGAACAGACGAGGAGCUUGCUCCUCUGACGUUAGCGGCGGACGGGUGAGUAACACGUGGAUAACCUACCUAUAAGACUGGGAUAACUUCGGGAAACCGGAGCUAAUACCGGAUAAUAUAUUGAACCGCAUGGUUCAAUAGUGAAAUACGGUUUUUCUGUCUCUUAUAGAUGGAUCCGCGCCGCAUUAGCUAGUUGGUAAGGUAACGGCUUACCAAGGCAACGAUUCGUAGCCGACCUGAGAGGGUGAUCGGCCACACUGGAACUGAGACACGGUCCAGACUCCUACGGGAGGCAGCAGUAGGGAAUCUUCCGCAAUGGGCGAAAGCCUGACGGAGCAACGCCGCGUGAGUGAUGAAGGUCUUCGGAUCGUAAAACUCUGUUAUUAGGGAAGAACAAAUGUGUAAGUAACUAUGCACGUCUUGACGGUACCUAAUAAGAAAGCCACGGCUAACUACGUG
RNAcentral lists this ribosomal RNA (497 nucleotides) under uncultured bacterium. RNAcentral describes it as "partial 16S ribosomal RNA". It matches the Rfam family "Bacterial small subunit ribosomal RNA", at positions 28 to 507 of the family's 1533-position model. The record is from RNAcentral.